This 253-nucleotide ribosomal RNA is filed under the name Ruminococcus bromii. RNAcentral describes it as "partial 16S ribosomal RNA". It matches the Rfam family "Bacterial small subunit ribosomal RNA", at positions 524 to 776 of the family's 1533-position model. The record is from RNAcentral. Lineage: Bacteria; Bacillati; Bacillota; Clostridia; Eubacteriales; Oscillospiraceae.
UACGUAGGGAGCAAGCGUUGUCCGGAUUUACUGGGUGUAAAGGGUGCGUAGGCGGCUUUGCAAGUCAGAUGUGAAAUCUAUGGGCUUAACCCAUAGCCUGCAUUUGAAACUGCAGAGCUUGAGUGAAGUAGAGGCAGGCGGAAUUCCCCGUGUAGCGGUGAAAUGCGUAGAGAUGGGGAGGAACACCAGUGGCGAAGGCGGCCUGCUGGGCUUUAACUGACGCUGAGGCACGAAAGCGUGGGUAGCAAACAGG